GUAGUUAUAGUUUAAUAAAAACAUUAGAUUGUGAAUCUAAUAAUAGAAGCUUACAACUUCUUGACCACC
RNAcentral lists this transfer RNA (69 nucleotides) under Saguinus oedipus (cotton-top tamarin). RNAcentral describes it as "tRNA-His". It matches the Rfam family "tRNA". From Rfam's summary of the family: Transfer RNA (tRNA) molecules are approximately 80 nucleotides in length. Their secondary structure includes four short double-helical elements and three loops (D, anti-codon, and T loops). The record is from RNAcentral. Lineage: Eukaryota; Metazoa; Chordata; Mammalia; Primates; Cebidae.